CGGGCUUAUUAAAAUAGAUGGAAUGUGUGUGGAAGGAGUUGGGCAUGUGUGUGAAACUCGUAAGCUCCCUGGAGGACUGGGUUAUGCCCCACUGCGUCAGCCAUUCGGCCACUCACCUAUUCAAACCACAGCAGUCCACUCAGCGGUGGACAGUCUCAUUUAUUUAGGCCUCUUAUGGGUAUUAGGAAGGAAAGCAUAUGUACGACCCAGUGGCGAGGAUCAGCUCUCCAGACUGUACAUGAUGAAGCCAGAGACCAUAACUCAGCGUGCUAGAGACAAAGUUACCUGCCAGAAGAAUGAGGUCACUCCAAGGUGAGAAGGUGAUCAGAAACAGACAAGCGCAGGAGACGACACUUGUGGAUCAUGCUCAACAGAGCCCACAUGCUCCAAGUCAAGGUAGCAAGACAGGCUGCCUCCCAACCCACCAGAUGCUCAGCACAGGACAUCUAACUGUCCCGUGUGCUCAAACAGCAACUGCAAAUACUAAAGCAGUGAAGCCACUUUUUACUUACAC
This 514-nucleotide long non-coding RNA is filed under the name Fukomys damarensis (Damara mole-rat). RNAcentral describes it as "lncRNA (ENSFDAG00000033495.1)". The record is from RNAcentral. Lineage: Eukaryota; Metazoa; Chordata; Mammalia; Rodentia; Bathyergidae.